CAAAGUUCAACCCAAGAAUGAAUUGGAGAGAAAAAAUAAAAAAAGACUCAACCCAAUGAGGAAAUAAACUCAACUGAGGAUUAAUUCCAACGAGAUAAUUGUCGCAUUACGCGAAAAACCGGCGGGAAAACAAAAUAAUAGAGCCGCCACCGUGCGUUAUUUAUCCCCAAAGAGGGAAAGGAAACGCUCGAAGUAAAGGAAGGAAUAUGGUUGCUAAAACACUGC
RNAcentral lists this long non-coding RNA (225 nucleotides) under Lathyrus oleraceus (garden pea). Its description in RNAcentral is "Pisum sativum (pea) long non-coding RNA (PSAT_LNC002922)". The record is from RNAcentral. Lineage: Eukaryota; Viridiplantae; Streptophyta; Magnoliopsida; Fabales; Fabaceae.